AUGCACCGCAGUGACAUCAGACGCAGCCGGCUCUCCUCCGACAGCUGCUCCUCCUCCCGGGGCUCCUGCCUGGCCCCGGGGACCCACCUGCCCUGCCAGGCUCUGCCUUGCGCAUCUCCCCGGGGCACAACACCCACCUCGAGGGGGGCCUCGAGGUCCUGGGGCAUCAGAGGGGCACAGGUGCAGGUGACAGAGGGACAGAGCAAGGCACUGGAGCAAGACAGCAAGAAGGCAAGCGCAGGGAUGAUCUUUGGAGGUGCAGGCACACACAGCCAGUUGUGGUGGAGCACGGGGCCUGUGCAGAGCUGGUGGACAAGGAGGCAAAGGUCUGGCAGUGUCAAGAUGCAAGUGCAGAGGCAGCAUCCCCAGGGACACAGCCACAGGCGUCCUGGCAGGAUGGCAUGGCGCUCUUUGGUGCUGCUGCCCUUUCUCCUGGCAACAGUUUCAGGCAACACAGUUCCCUUCAUCAACACCACCAUCGUCCACGUGCCUGAGGACCUGCAGCUGGGCCAGUUUGCUUUCCAGCUGGUAGCUUAUGACAUAGACAAGGACCCUCUCACCUACCAAAUCGGAGGGACAGACGCCCUCUACUUCUCUGUCAACUCCAGCUCAGGCGAAGUGACACUGAAGAACUCCCUGGACCGUGAGGUGUGGGCAGAGGAUGGGGUCAGAUGUCCCUGCCUGAGUGGGGGUAUGGGGAUGGAGGGCAGAGCCUGUGGGUCACUCCCUGGCCCCAAAACCCAGGUCCUGGAGGGAGAGUUGUCCUCACAGAGGUUGAGGGUCGACUCUCCAAGGACUGAGCUCCACCUUGGCCCUGACCAAGUCCUGCCUUGUGUCCCCUCAGGUCCAGGCCAGGCUCACCAUCACCGCCAUAGUGUCUGA
Molecule: long non-coding RNA, 882 nt
Filed under: Catharus ustulatus (Swainson's thrush)
Lineage: Eukaryota; Metazoa; Chordata; Aves; Passeriformes; Turdidae
Description: lncRNA (ENSCUSG00005003794.1)
Source: RNAcentral